Molecule: transfer RNA, 126 nt
Filed under: Oceanobacter sp. 4_MG-2023
Lineage: Bacteria; Pseudomonadati; Pseudomonadota; Gammaproteobacteria; Oceanospirillales; Oceanospirillaceae
Description: tRNA-Met
Source: RNAcentral
GGUGUCAAGUUGGUGUCAAAUUGGUGUGCGGGAAAUACAAAGAGCAAUAAUAACAACGAGUUAUGAUCGAAUGACUACCGCCUCAUAAUCGGCAGGUCCCCAGUUCAAGUCUGGGAAGGCCCACCA